CUAAUUCUGCCUUGCUCGAUUAAGCAUGUUUGAUAUAAUCCUACACUUCUUAAAAGGGAAUUGUUCUCCGGGCGCGGAUUGCAGACCUCCCGCCUAUGGCGGACGAAGGGAGCGCGAAACAUUCGGGACAAUUUACCCACCCUGCUUAACAGCGGGUUUUAUACGCAUGUGGCGACAAGGCGGAGUUCUU
RNAcentral lists this non-coding RNA (190 nucleotides) under Candidatus Faeciplasma pullistercoris. RNAcentral's name for it is "6S RNA". It matches the Rfam family "6S / SsrS RNA". Rfam says of the family: E. coli 6S RNA was the first non coding RNA to be sequenced, but its function was unknown until recently. It consists of 184 nucleotides that fold into an extended hairpin structure with a large single-stranded internal bulge. The 6S RNA specifically associates with RNA polymerase holoenzyme containing the sigma70 specificity factor. The record is from RNAcentral. Lineage: Bacteria; Bacillati; Bacillota; Clostridia; Eubacteriales; Oscillospiraceae.